CAGAGGGGGCAAGCGUUGUUCGGAAUUACGUGGGCGUAAAGGGCGCGUAGGCGGCCUGCUAAGUCGAACGUGAAAUCCCUGGGCUCAACCCAGGAACUGCGUCCGAUACUGGUUGGCUUGAAUCCGGGAGAGGGAUGUGGAAUUCCAGGUGUAGCGGUGAAAUGCGUAGAUAUCUGGAGGAACACCGGUGGCGAAGGCGACAUCCUGGACCGGUAUUGACGCUGAGGCGCGAAAGCCAGGGGAGCAAACGGGAUUAGAUACCCCGGUAGUCCUGGCCCUAAACGAUGAAUGCUUGGUGUGGUGGGUAUCGAUCCCUACCGUACCGAAGCUAACGCAUUAAGCAUUCCGCCUGGGGAGUACGGUCGCAAGGCUG
This 373-nucleotide ribosomal RNA is filed under the name uncultured organism. RNAcentral's name for it is "bacterial SSU rRNA". It matches the Rfam family "Bacterial small subunit ribosomal RNA", at positions 526 to 896 of the family's 1533-position model. The record is from RNAcentral.